AGUGAACGCUGGCGGUAGGCCUAACACAUGCAAGUCGAACGGCAGCACAGUAAGAGCUUGCUCUUACGGGUGGCGAGUGGCGGACGGGUGAGUAAUACAUCGGAAUCUACUUUUUCGUGGGGGAUAACGUAGGGAAACUUACGCUAAUACCGCAUACGACCUACGGGUGAAAUCAGGGGAUCUUCGGACCUUGCGCGAUUGAAUGAGCCGAUGCCGGAUUAGCUAGUUGGCGGGGUAAAGGCCCACCAAGGCGACCAUCCGUAGCUGGUCUGAGAGGAUGAUCAGCCAUACUGGAACUGAGACACGAUCCAGACUCCUACGGGAGGCAGCAGAGGGGAAUAUUGGCCAGUGGGCGCAAGCCUGAUCCAGCCAUACCGCGUGGGUGAAGAAGGCCUUCGGGUUGUAAAGCCCUUUUGUUGGGAAAGAAAAGCAGCAGGUUAAUACCCCGCUGUUCUGACGGUACCCAAAGAAUAAGCACCGGCUAACUUCGUG
RNAcentral lists this ribosomal RNA (492 nucleotides) under uncultured bacterium. Its description in RNAcentral is "partial 16S ribosomal RNA". It matches the Rfam family "Bacterial small subunit ribosomal RNA", at positions 29 to 507 of the family's 1533-position model. The record is from RNAcentral.